Molecule: ribosomal RNA, 253 nt
Filed under: uncultured bacterium
Lineage: Bacteria
Description: partial 16S ribosomal RNA
Rfam family: Bacterial small subunit ribosomal RNA
Source: RNAcentral
UACGAAGGGUGCAAGCGUUACUCGGAAUUACUGGGCGUAAAGGGUGCGUAGGUGGUUUGUUAAGUCUGCUGUGAAAUCCCCGGGCUCAACCUGGGAACUGCGUUUGUGACUGUAUGACUAGAGUACGGUAGAGAGGGGUGGAAUUCCUGGUGUAGCAGUGAAAUGCGUAGAUAUCAGGAGGAACAUCGAUGGCGAAGGCAGCCCCUUGGACCUGUACUGACGCUCAUGCACGAAAGCGUGGGGAGCAAACAGG